This is a long non-coding RNA of Pezoporus occidentalis (night parrot), 1815 nucleotides long. RefSeq lists it as uncharacterized. The record is from RefSeq and is a predicted model, not a curated record. The transcript has 4 exons. Lineage: Eukaryota; Metazoa; Chordata; Aves; Psittaciformes; Psittacidae.
CAAUACCCACAUGAAGAAGUGUGUUAUACACAAGCUCCUUCAUUUAAAAUUAAAGGAUGUGGGCAAAAAUAAGGUUGUCCAUUAAAAUUUGUAUGUUCUUUUCAGAGUCAGUUCUGGAUUUUUGCCACAUGGAAGAUCUUGCCUAGCGUUCAGAUUGAAUUGCACCAAAGUGUGGUAAAAAUGUAAAUGAAAACUGUACAGACAGCCAUGGGAAUCACAUGUGAACCCUGCCACUAAACAAAUUGAAUUUCAAAAGCUGAAUUCCAAAUUCAUCUCUCAGACAAGUCUUCUCAAUCUACCAAAGAUGCCUCAUAUAUGUUGCAAUGAUGAGACUUGCCACUCAGAAGCUGUAAGAGAAGAUCCUCUUGGAGCACAGAUAGCUUGUGAAAUUAAAACACUGCGUAGUGGACGUCAAAGUGCUGUCAGAAGAAUCUGUCCAGUGGGAAUGUUGGCACCAGAGAAAGGGUACCUGUGAUAAUAUAUAAUUUUAAUUGGACUGUGUCAUGACAGGCUGACCAGAUGCCAAUAAAAAAGCCUAUGGAAAAAAUAUUAUGAAAGGAGGACAAGGAUGUAAUGUUGCAGUAUCUUCUGUGAUCAGUGCAGGAUGCUCUGAUAAGAAACUUGGUAAAUGUGGAGAAAGCGUGCAGCACUGCCAUUGAAGAGGAGGUGGGAAUGGGCUGCCAUAGGGUUUCUCCUUGAGGAAUCUCCUGUUAAACCUCCAGUAUUACAGAUAGCUGCGCAAAAGGAUCCCCAAAACUUCAAUGCAAAGGCAUGAUUGAAAAUCCCUAUAUGGAACUCACAGUUUAAGAUAGUCUUAAACAAACAAACAAACAAACACACAAAAUGACCCCCCUGUAUAAUCACUUUUGGGCUUUGAUGGUCUUUAUCUCAUAGACAGGGGACCUGAGGUGUUAUCACCAGCCUCAGCUGUUAGUUUAAAUCUGCAUGCAGAAGCCCCUAGGGCUGCCCCACACCUCAAGGACUGGGGAGCUAAGACCAGCCUAAUCUCGUGGGAAGGUUCAGUGAGAAAUCUUUUCAGAGCUGCUACUUGUGUUUUCCAUUCCCAUGCAGCAACCACAAGCCGCUUCCACCUCAUUUCUCUUUUACAGGCUCUUCAGCCUACUCAGAAGAGACCCAGAACCCACCUAAUGCUCUUUUUGAGUCAAACUUGAAUUUGAAACAAAUACUCUUCUGUUCUUCUUUUUGUGAACAUGAAUGGUGCCUGAUGCAGGUCACUUGUCAGAAAUGGCACAAGAAUAAGGAAAAGCAAUUUCAUCAUUUUGUGCUUUCAUAAAGGGUAAACUAAUAACUUAUGCAAAAAGCUGUGCGUAUGGUAUACUGUUUGAGAAUAUAAUCACUUUGUUAUACACUCUGUCCUGCAAGGUGCUGCAACUCAUAUCCUGUCCAAUAAAAUAGGUACGCCUAUUGAUUUGAAAGCUUGUGCUUCAUUGUUAUGUUGGACGGGGAUCAGGUUUUGUGGCUGUAAGUUGAACCUAACUACUUAAAAAGGAGGUUUUAUCAGUCAUUUUGCAAGUGAUGUCUGUUAGCUCUGGUGAGGCUACUUUGUUCUGUUUCAGGUUAGGGAAAUGAAUGUGUACGUUAUGGUAUUGAGAGGUUGUUGAGCUAAAAUAAUAAUAACUAAAAAAUACAGUAAAUUGGAUGUUCUAGAGCCCCAGGGGAUUGAUUAGGGCUUGUAAUAUGGUAUAAAGAAAGUUUCUACUAUUUGGGGUUUUUCCAAAAAUAAAAUAUGUGUAAUGUUGGUAGUUGCAAUAUUUUUAAUUGGUGUGUUUAUUUUGUUUUGAGACUCAACAUUAA